AAAAACGAGAGACCCCACAAGGGUUGUUGAAUCCAUACAGCUUGCGCGAGACGAUCGAAGGGGAUCCUGUGUGUGCGGUGAUCGUGAUUGUUUGCUGUGUUGUGUCGUACGAGAUGGCAAUGCAAAGCCCUUACGACCAGGUAACCAAGGGAUACGUCGCAACGCGGCCCCGGUAUCCCGACCAGUGGUUCUCCAAGCUCUCCGCUUUGACCUCCCGCCAUGCCUUGGCUUGGGACGCCGGCACUGGCAACGGCCAAGCCGCCAUCGCGGUCGCAGAACAUUAUGAGCGAGUGAUUGCGACUGACAUAAGUGAACCCAUGCUGAAGCAGGGGAUCCCACACCCUCGAGUUCAGUACUUACACACUCCGCCAUCCCUGUCCGAAGACGAAAUGGUGGCAAUGCUUGGGGGUGAGAACUCGGUCGAUUUGAUCACGGUGGCCACUGCCGUCCAUUGGUUUGACAUCCCAAAGUUCUACUCUGUUGCCAAACGGGUCCUCCGCAAGCCCGGAGGCGUGAUCGCCGUUUGGACCUACACUGACAUGAUCGAAGUCAAUCCCGAAUUUGAACGUAUACUAAGACGUCUGCGCGAAGCCUGUAAGCCGUAUUGGAAGCCAGGAGCACAGUACUUCUUCGAAGAGUAUCGAAACCUUCCAUUUCCGUUUGAGAGUGUGGGUUUAGGUUGUGAAGGACAACCUGCUCAGCUAGAAAUGCCAAGGGAAAUGAGUUUUGAGACGUUGCUGAGUGUCCUGAGGACCGCGUCGGCAGUAGCGACGGCCAAGCAGCAUGGUGUGGACCUGUUGACCGAUGAUGUCGUGAAAGAGUUUGAGACUGCUUGGGGCGGAUCGGAUUUGGUCAGAACUGUCAAGUCCAAGGUUUUUAUGCUCGCCGGAACCGUGAAAGCUUAAAAGAUCUCUGUUUCUCGGUGCUUUGGGGAGCUCGUUACUGAUAAAAUCUUCCUAAAUUACGCCUCCAUUAAAUAAUGUUCCAGAGUUGGAGAACGUGCAUCAGCAGCAGCAUCUACUUGUAGAUGCCCCUCCUGAGCACAAACUUGUUGUGAGAGUUCAUCAUUAAGUAGUCUCAGAGAAUUAUAUACGAGCCAGGGGAAGAUGAUUACAGCCACUACCGUUCCAGUAUCCCAUGAACAAUUAAUGGUCACAGAAAUCAGUCUUUUGCAGACUCAUCGCAGAAACCCGUAGACAGACGACUAGACAGAAAAGGGAGGAGCAACAUAAGGCACAGCGCCAACUUCGCCUGUGCCAUUCUGCAUAGCGGCUAUGCUGGAGGCAGCACACAUGGAUCAGGCAAGGGUGGGACUAACAGCAAAUCGGAAUCAUCAUCUCCAAAAGGCGGUGCAGCUGUGAUCCCCAUGUAUGCUGGUUCUGCUGGUGCUAACAACCACCACCACCAAAGUGCCCUCCACGGUUCCAUAGCCCUGCACGAGUCCACGCUCUCACUGGAGCAGUACUGGCCCUCUGCUGUGUUUUCCUAUAGAAUGUUUGCAUUUGAUGGCGCAAAUUUCUCAAUAGAUCUUUGUGUACAUUGAGACAGUAACUUAAAACUCUGCAAUAAAUUCAAACGUUUAGCCUUUUCCCA
Molecule: RNA transcript, 1593 nt
Organism: Eucalyptus grandis
Lineage: Eukaryota; Viridiplantae; Streptophyta; Magnoliopsida; Myrtales; Myrtaceae
Gene name: putative methyltransferase DDB_G0268948
Exons: 4
Source: RefSeq, a predicted model, not a curated record